GUCGUUCUCAGACAUGGACAGUUCUUGUACAACUUUCUCCAGUCCUUUGCUAAUAGCUUGCAUCUCCUCUGCAAGAAAUUUCAGUUGUAUCUUUGCGCACGGUUCCAAACUAGAAAGAUCAUUAGAAAAAUCUAGCAGUUCGGGCAAUUUGUCAGCAAGUACCUUGCAAAGAUAAUGCAUGAGAGUCAUCUUAUUGUUCCGUGCACGUGUCUCUGUUAGUUUUAGGAGGCUAUCUAACCUGAAUCCAACAGCAGAACCUCUAGCAGUUCCCUGGUUCAAAGCAUUUCCAAGAGAGAGAAU
Molecule: unclassified non-coding RNA, 300 nt
Filed under: Hevea brasiliensis (rubber tree)
Lineage: Eukaryota; Viridiplantae; Streptophyta; Magnoliopsida; Malpighiales; Euphorbiaceae
Source: RNAcentral